This 212-nucleotide long non-coding RNA is filed under the name Elaeis guineensis (African oil palm). RNAcentral describes it as "long non-coding RNA (EGUI_LNC054993)". The record is from RNAcentral. Lineage: Eukaryota; Viridiplantae; Streptophyta; Magnoliopsida; Arecales; Arecaceae.
GUGAAGUCUGUGUCUGGAUCAAGAUGGAAUUGAUCUCUCUGGAUUAUUGAAGUUGAUGUAUCACUGUAUUUCAAUUUAGUAAAGUCUUAGUCAGAGUAAUCCAUGAGAUAGAUUUGAAAGGUUAAAAUACAAUAUGGAUGAAGCAAUUUUGAUUGAUAGUUAAUCUGAGGCCAUCCUAGAGCAUUCAAGGUCAAAAGGAUGAAUUAUAUAGU